This 467-nucleotide ribosomal RNA is filed under the name uncultured bacterium. RNAcentral's name for it is "partial 16S ribosomal RNA". It matches the Rfam family "Bacterial small subunit ribosomal RNA", at positions 29 to 507 of the family's 1533-position model. The record is from RNAcentral.
ACGAACGCUGGCGGCGUGCUUAACCCAUGCAAGUCGAACGGAAAGGCCCUGCUUUUGUGGGGUGCUCGAGUGGCGAACGGGUGAGUAACACGUGAGUAACCUGCCCUUGACUUUGGGAUAACUUCAGGAAACUGGGGCUAAUACCGGAUAGGAGCUCCUGCUGCAUGGUGGGGGUUGGAAAGUUUCGGCGGUUGGGGAUGGACUCGCGGCUUAUCAGCUUGUUGGUGGGGUAGUGGCUUACCAAGGCUUUGACGGGUAGCCGGCCUGAGAGGGUGACCGGCCACAUUGGGACUAAGAUACGGCCCAGACUCCUACGGGAGGCAGCAGUGGGGAAUAUUGCACAAUGGGCGGAAGCCUGAUGCAGCAACGCCGCGUGCGGGAUGACGGCCUUCGGGUUGUAAACCGCUUUCGCCUGUGACGAAGCGUGAGUGACGGUAAUGGGUAAAGAAGCACCGGCUAACUACGUG